Molecule: unclassified non-coding RNA, 504 nt
Filed under: uncultured Glomus
Lineage: Eukaryota; Fungi; Glomeromycota; Glomeromycetes; Glomerales; Glomeraceae
Description: SSU rRNA
Rfam family: Eukaryotic small subunit ribosomal RNA
Source: RNAcentral
AGCAGCCGCGGUAAUUCCAGCUCCAAUAGCGUAUAUUAAAGUUGUUGCAGUUAAAAAGCUCGUAGUUGAAUUUCGGGAUCAGUUGGUCGGUCGUGCCUCGGUACGUACUGGUCAAAUUGAUUCCUACCUUCUGACGAACCACGAUGUCAUUAAUUUGGUGUCGCGGGAAAUCAGGACUGUUACUUUGAAAAAUUAGAGUGUUUAAAGCAGGCUCGCGCUUGAAUACAUUAGCAUGGAAUAAUGAAAUAGGACGUUUGAUUCUAUUCUGUUGGUUUCUAGGAUCGACGUAAUGAUUAAUAGGGAUAGUUGGGGGCAUUAGUAUUCAAUUGUCAGAGGUGAAAUUCUUGGAUUUAUUGAAGACUAACUACUGCGAAAGCAUUUGCCAAGGAUGUUUUCAUUAAUCAAGAACGAAAGUUAGGGGAUCGAAGACGAUCAGAUACCGUCGUAGUCUUAACCAUAAACUAUGCCGACUAGGGAUCGGAUGAUGUUAAUUUUUAAUGACUC